Puntigrus tetrazona (Sumatra barb) is the source of this 2562-nucleotide long non-coding RNA. RefSeq lists it as uncharacterized. The transcript is spliced from 2 exons. The record is from RefSeq and is a predicted model, not a curated record. Lineage: Eukaryota; Metazoa; Chordata; Actinopteri; Cypriniformes; Cyprinidae.
GCGGCUGUUGAGUGAGUUGUGACGACUGCAGAAAUGGCAAAGAGGUGUGUUUUCGGUUGUUCGCCGAACAAAACUCUUUUCAGCAUCCCACGGCUGCCUCUGCUACGGUCCCGCUGGCGGGAGUUUCUGCACUUUGAAGAGGAAGGGUUAACGGUGAACUCGAGGCUGUGCUCCAGGCAUUUCACGCCAGACUGUUUCCAGAACUUAACCCAGCACCAGAUGGGCUUCGCCAAAGUCUUGUACCUCAAGAACACCGCUGUUCCGUCGGUGUACACGGUUGGUGUGUCCCAGAAUAUGAACGUAAGUCUAUCUAGACAGCUUGCUUAUGUUGAUGAUGCGUUCCCCACGAGUUUUGGCCUUCACUUAUCUGUCUUUUGUGGCAGGCUCUCUCGAGGGAGGUGGGCUGUCAGAGCAUCUCUCAAACUCCAAAAAAAGAGCGUCUCGGUUCAAGCGUCAUUCCCGGUCCCUAAAACGAAACGACGCAGUAAAGGUGACUUUUAGGUGCUUGGUAGUUUGGGUUGAGCGCAUUGCUUUGAUAACUUACUUCCCUCCUGUGUUGAUGUGUCAGCCGUUCAAGUGAAGUCUCCAGAGCUCGCUGCUCUCGAAAUGAAACGGAGAAGUGCGCAGAUGAUUUCACCUGCAGGACCACAGAAGACCUGGCUCUCAUCCUGAGGGCUUCAAGGCCGUAGGCUUCUCAGGUCUCAAUUUUGUUAUAUAAGGGAUUUUUUAGGAACGACCGUUUAUUUGUGACCCUGGACAACAAAUAAGGGUCAGUGUUUUUUAAAUAAAUAUUUUUUUACUUAGAUUUAUAAGUAAGCUUUCCAUUGAUUGUAUGGUUUGUGAAAACGGGACAGUAUUUGUCUGAGAUAAAAUCUGGAAUCUGAGGGUGCAAAAAAAAUGUAGCAAUGCAUAUUAUUACUAAUCAUAAAUUGAGUUUUGUUACAUUUAGGGUAGGUAAAUAUCUCUGGAACAUAUUUACUUAAUAUUCCAAUGUUUUAUUUUUUUUCUUCCCACAUUAGACAUGUUGCCAACACGGUGAUGAAUAUGAGGUGUUGGACGAUAAAUUAGAAAAUUGAAGCUCUUGGGAAAAGAGUGGAUUAUGGAGAGGUUCCAAGCAACCUGAACCUCCUCUGCUGGUGUGCGUCCCUCAAGACGAGAAGAAACCACUGAAUUGUUGUGCUGUCAAACGCCUUCCACUCGACUGGCAGUUACAUAAUAUACACAAAUAAUGGCAAGGAGUGAUAAACCUGACUGUUCUGCUCACAGCCAACUGCUGUGCCAAUAGAGCUGGAUAUUCUGUUUACCUCCAUGAAUCAUUGUACAACAGAAAACUUCACGUACAGCUAAUCACACACCACUGGAAAACGGUCACCUCUAGAGGGAAAAACGUGGCCAAAACCAGACUGAUGAGACGCUUUCCAUGUUGUUUUUGGAGACGGCCUUUCAAUCCUGGACUAUUCCAGGCUCAUCUAAAUGACGUCCCCUGCGAGAUGCUAUGUAGAGACCUGAUGUAAAAGGAAGCUGUGCCCAGAUUGUACACUUUUGGUGUUUGUUGGUCUCUAAAUUAAGUGUGUAUUCAAGUCUCUGCCCCUAUUACUACAAGUGUCUUUGAGUGAGAGAGGGAAGAACAGGUUGAACUUAUGUGUUCUUAUAAAAGUGGUAAUGAAAUGCCAAAAGCACAAUACAAAAAGGGUUGAGGGAAUUGAAGAAUGUUUUAACAAGCGCUUAACAUCUCAUUUCUUUAGAAGAUAUUUCUUUGGGGCAGACAAAAUGACAACCGGAAAAAGAAAUGUGGAUGUUCUUGAGAUGAAACCUCCAUAUCAACCAUACUGGAACCUACCACUUCUCAUAAACGUGUAUUGUAUUAUAUAUAUAUUACAGAUUCAGGUGAAUUAAAUUAUUAAUUUACUGCCAUUUUCUGAACAAUAUGCAAGCAGUUACUACCCAGCUCUGCUCAUAACCAACUGCUGUUCCAAUAAAGAUGGAUAUUCAAGCAUAAAUGAUUCCGUUUCCCUCCAUUAAACCUAUAUUUUCAUGGACUGGAAAACGACACGCACAACAGAAGGAUGAAACAGAUUCACAAACGCAGAGUGACCUUUUAUUUGUAUUUACUGACUUGAGCCAGCAUGACUACUUCUACACAGACAAACCUCUAGAAAACAAUACUUCAACUCUGAUAGUUCAAGAGUAACGAACCAAUUUAAACCCAAACAUGUCUCUCUCUCUCUUUUUUUUUUUGUUUUGGAGUUUUAAGCUUUGUUUUCGUUUCUGUGUACAAGUCUCAUAGCUGAAAGAAACAUGCACAUGACAUAAUAAUGCACAUUAUAAAGUUCAGUACUGACAAUAUUUCAAAUUAAUACAAACGAAUGAACGUUAUUUCAUAUAAAGGUAUCAAACUUAUAGAUCCUUAUAGAUCAAUACUGGAACACAAUAAUAAAGAGUUUCCAAAUCGAAGCUUCCACAGCUAGUUGAAGAUCACAACGCCAUCACUUCCAGCAAACAGAAAACCUUAGUUACCACAUCACUUGGUGUUGGUUUAAUUGCACUUAAUUUAGUUUCUCC